This 222-nucleotide ribosomal RNA is filed under the name Triticum aestivum (bread wheat). RNAcentral describes it as "partial small subunit ribosomal RNA". Lineage: Eukaryota; Viridiplantae; Streptophyta; Magnoliopsida; Poales; Poaceae. The record is from RNAcentral.
AUGACGCAGACCCGUAGAAAAUGGGACGCCACGGCCGAUUCUUCCCACAACGCCGAUCUCCAAGUUGGAGGUGAGGACACCCUGGCCGAAAUGUCGCCCAAGGAGGAGAAGGGAGUUGACGUUGUCGGUGAAUGGUGGGAGCUGGUCGCCGGUGCCGGAGAAGGUCGGGGUUCAGAGGCACGACGAGGCGACCGACGCAUGCCAAGCGGAGGAGGUGGCUAA